CAACAGUUUUCUUAUGAUGCAAGAUUGAUUGGCAUUGAAUACGACCCUAAUCGAAAUGCAUACAUUUGUCUCAUACACUAUGGGGAUGGUGAGAAGAGAUAUAUUUUACAUCCUAGAGGGGCUAUAAUUGGAGAUACUAUUGUUUCUGGUACAAAAGUUCCCAUAUCAAUGGGAAAUGCCCUACCUUUGAGUGCGGUUUGA
Molecule: ribosomal RNA, 201 nt
Filed under: Triticum aestivum (bread wheat)
Lineage: Eukaryota; Viridiplantae; Streptophyta; Magnoliopsida; Poales; Poaceae
Description: partial small subunit ribosomal RNA
Source: RNAcentral